Molecule: long non-coding RNA, 252 nt
Filed under: Marmota monax (woodchuck)
Lineage: Eukaryota; Metazoa; Chordata; Mammalia; Rodentia; Sciuridae
Source: RNAcentral
ACACCUGGCUGUACAUUGUGGUUUUGAUUUGUGUUUUCCUGGUAGCUAAUAAUGUCAAGUAUCUUAUCACAUGCUCAUCAGCCAUUUGUAUAUUUUCUUUGGCAUUCUUUGUUUUCCUGUCCCCAAGGCAAUAGGCCUUUGCCCAUCUGAGCUUUUGCUUAGAAUGACAUAGUUGACCUAACUUAGACUUGGAUUGCCUUUCCUCCACUUUCUAUGAUUCCUCCCUUCACCCAUCCCCCAGGGAAAGUUAAU